This 32-nucleotide ribosomal RNA is filed under the name Abelmoschus moschatus (musk mallow). Its description in RNAcentral is "partial 28S ribosomal RNA". The record is from RNAcentral. Lineage: Eukaryota; Viridiplantae; Streptophyta; Magnoliopsida; Malvales; Malvaceae.
CGCGACCCCAGGUCAGGCGGGAUUACCCGCUG